This 119-nucleotide ribosomal RNA is filed under the name Neogale vison (American mink). The record is from RNAcentral. Lineage: Eukaryota; Metazoa; Chordata; Mammalia; Carnivora; Mustelidae.
UCCUACCCACUUACCACCCUGAACGCGCCCGAUCUCGUCUGAUCUCGGAAGCUAAGCAGGGUCGGGCCUGGUUAGUACUUGGAUGGGGGACACAGGGAUCCCUCUUUUCAGAGAAGGGA